GUAGGUGGCAAGCGUUGUCCGGAAUUAUUGGGCGUAAAGCGCGCGCAGGCGGUCCUUUAAGUCUGAUGUGAAAGCCCACGGGCUCAACCGUGGAGGGUCAUUGGAAACUGGGGGACUUGAGUACAGAAGAGGAAAGCGGAAUUCCAAGUGUAGCGGUGAAAUGCGUAGAGAUUUGGAGGAACACCAGUGGCGAAGGCGGCUUUCUGGUCUGUAACUGACGCUGAGGCGCGAAAGCGUGGGGAGCAAACAGGAUUAGAUACCCUGGUAGUCCACGACGUAAACGAUGAGUGCUAAGUGUUAGGGGGUUUCCGCCCCUUAGUGCUGCAGCUAACGCAUUAAGCACUCCGCCUGGGGAGUACGGCCGCAAAGGCUGA
This 374-nucleotide ribosomal RNA is filed under the name uncultured organism. RNAcentral describes it as "partial 16S ribosomal RNA". It matches the Rfam family "Bacterial small subunit ribosomal RNA", at positions 527 to 897 of the family's 1533-position model. The record is from RNAcentral.